Molecule: ribosomal RNA, 253 nt
Filed under: uncultured bacterium
Lineage: Bacteria
Description: partial 16S ribosomal RNA
Rfam family: Bacterial small subunit ribosomal RNA
Source: RNAcentral
UACGAAGGGGGCUAGCGUUGCUCGGAAUCACUGGGCGUAAAGGGUGCGUAGGCGGGCAGGUAAGUCAGUGGUGAAAUCUCCGGGCUUAACCCGGAAACUGCCGUUGAUACUAUCUGUCUUGAAUAUCGUGGAGGUAAGCGGAAUAUGUCAUGUAGCGGUGAAAUGCUUAGAUAUGACAUAGAACACCCAUUGCGAAGGCAGCUUACUACACGAUCAUUGACGCUGAGGCACGAAAGCGUGGGGAGCAAACAGG